GGGUUUUUCUGAUUUCGUAUGUGACCUGCGGAGGAUCAUUAUUGAAU
RNAcentral lists this ribosomal RNA (47 nucleotides) under uncultured Tricholoma. RNAcentral's name for it is "partial 18S ribosomal RNA". Lineage: Eukaryota; Fungi; Basidiomycota; Agaricomycetes; Agaricales; Tricholomataceae. The record is from RNAcentral.